RNAcentral lists this long non-coding RNA (747 nucleotides) under Monodelphis domestica (gray short-tailed opossum). Its description in RNAcentral is "lncRNA (ENSMODG00000049112.1)". Lineage: Eukaryota; Metazoa; Chordata; Mammalia; Didelphimorphia; Didelphidae. The record is from RNAcentral.
UGAGGCACAGGAAGUGAGGUGGAGAACAGACUCUGGAGUUCACUCACUUCCUGUGGACAGGGCUAGAGUCAGUUAGAUUCUGGAGCUCGAGCUGGGAGGAGGCCCACAGACAGCUUUCCUUCAAAUCAGUCAUGGGAAAAGUCUUUAACCAGAUGAGAUCAUAGUAUUACCAUGAUAUUAAUUGAUGAUAGCAUGAAGAGAAGGGAUAAGGAGAGGUGAGAGGAGACUACUGAACAGAUCUCUGAAGGAAGUCACAAAUUCCAAAAAGUGGACAUGAGGAAGGAGAGUAUUCCAGGUAUUCUUCAGCAGCAAUUGACCUCUACUUAUCCACUUCACCUGGUUCAUGUAUUUUGAAGCUAAUAGUAAGCUAAAAAAUGCAGAAGAGAAGAAAAAGAAAUAUGAACAGUUGUUGAAUAAUUCCUACAAAGGAAAGUUUAAAUACCUGGAAAGUUACAUCUACAGAAAUCAAGAUUCGUCCCUUCUGAAAGAAAUGUCAGGAGUAUGGGUGCCAGAUGAUAAGACUUGAGCAAACUGUGAUGUCCCAUAUAUCUUUUUAUCUACCAUGAGACCAAGCAUGGCGACUUGGACCUAGAGAUGGUCAGUAAAUAUUUCUGAAUGAAUGAAACUCUCACCACUCAGAAUAUGAACUUUUUGACUCUUUCUAUCUGGAAAGUUCUGUGUUCUAAAGCUAAAAUGUUAAAUGUACUAAAUUCAGACAAUAAAUUCUUAGUAUCAAUAUUUAAAACA